UUUUAUGGAGAGUUUGAUCCUGGCUCAGGAUGAACGCUGGCGGCGUGCCUAAUACAUGCAAGUCGAGCGAACGGACGAGAAGCUUGCUUCUCUGAUGUUAGCGGCGGACGGGUGAGUAACACGUGGAUAACCUACCUAUAAGACUGGGAUAACUUCGGGAAACCGGAGCUAAUACCGGAUAAUAUUUUGAACCGCAUGGUUCAAAAGUAAAAGACGGUCUUGCUGUCACUUAUAGAUGGAUCCGCGCUGCAUUAGCUAGUUGGUAAGGUAACGGCUUACCAAGGCAACGAUGCAUAGCCGACCUGAGAGGGUGAUCGGCCAAACUGGAACUGAGACACGGUCCAGACUCCUACGGGAGGCAGCAGUAGGGAAUCUUCCGCAAUGGGCGAAAGCCUGACGGAGCAACGCCGC
RNAcentral lists this ribosomal RNA (411 nucleotides) under Staphylococcus aureus. RNAcentral describes it as "bacterial SSU rRNA". It matches the Rfam family "Bacterial small subunit ribosomal RNA", at positions 1 to 400 of the family's 1533-position model. The record is from RNAcentral. Lineage: Bacteria; Bacillati; Bacillota; Bacilli; Caryophanales; Staphylococcaceae.